GGGUGGGGAGAGGCGCUGGCCACCCAUGUGCCUCGAGGAGCUCACAGCUAAUGUCCUUAGAAAUGGAGACACUUAGGCAAGACGUGAGCACAGAUGAAUGCCUUAGGAAGAUGAAGACAUGGGCUGGGUGACCCGACAAACCAAGACACCCCCAGAAACUAGGGGGAGAACCUAGAACAGGCUCCUUUUCCUAGCCCUCAGGAGGUGUCAGCCCAGCUGGCACCUGAUCUGGGAUUUUAUCUUUCAGAAUAGUGAGGCAAUGGCAUUGUUGUUAUCCAGUUUGUGACACUUUGCUGUGACAGCCGAGAGGACCAUAGAAGUCAGAGCUCAAACCAUUGCUUUGGAGAAGAAUAAACUGGGAUCCAGAGGCUAACAUGACGUUGCCCAAGACCUCUCUCCUCCAUUCAAGAAAUCAGCAGGCCGAGGAAGCAAGAUGGGUCCAUGGAUAAAGGUGCUUGCUGCCAAGCUCAAGGACCCGAGUUCAAUCCCCAGAGUCCUCACAAUGGAAAGGAGAGGAACCACUCCCGCUUGCUGUCCUCUGAUCUCCAAACAUACACCAUGUUGAACCGUCAGAGGCUGGCACUGGGAAAUGUCUUCUGUUUCCACUAGAACCAUGGCUAACAGCAAGGAUGGACCACUAGGAGCCAGAGAGUCACUACAGAGUACAUGUCCUUACUUGGCUCCUUCAUCCACCCAAUAGCACCUCCCUGGAGCACAGAAGGCAUUGCUGGUUUUUGCACCAGGUCCCUGCAUCCUGGCUCUGAAAAGCCACUGCACGUCAUAUUUCUGGGCACCUACUAUGUGCUUUACAUACAUGUUCUCAUUUAUCACAGCCUCUUAGUGGCAUUCACGUUUUAUAGGGGGAGACAGGCUUACAGAGGCUGAGUUACUAAAGCCACCCAGCUUUAGAUUCCACAGGCUGUGUUUGAUACCAGAUUCUCUGACUUGGAAGCUUAGCCACUUUCCAUCCAAGGUACAGGCAGGCAUGUCAGUCAGUGAAUGUCUUAGGAGGCAAGUGCUGUCAGAGUACCCAGUGGUGGCGAGGUGACCAACCCACGUGGAGGUGACACCAGGCUGGAGAGGCAAAUGGGAAUGGAAUAUAUCCCCCACCCAGGAGGCAUGCUGUGGUCUGUGUAAAAACAAAACAAAACAAAACAAAACAAAA
This is a non-coding RNA of Peromyscus maniculatus bairdii (prairie deer mouse), 1165 nucleotides long. The record is from RefSeq and is a predicted model, not a curated record. Lineage: Eukaryota; Metazoa; Chordata; Mammalia; Rodentia; Cricetidae.